UAGAUUUGAUUGAAGUGUAGCAUUGUAAAGUAUGAGAAAUAAUAAUUACCAUUAGAGACGAUUAAGUAAUCUAGUAGUGAGGAGGAGGUGGUGAUUUGUAAAGGUAGGGUUGGUGUGGAGGUGAGUAGUGGUGUACUGGAGGAGGAGGAGAAUGGUAUACCGUAGGGGGAGAGUAAUGGACCGGAGGAGGAGGAGAUUUGUAUUCGUAGUGCUUCUUGGGUGGUGGUGGGGAGUGGUAUACAACUGGAGGAGGUGAGUAGUGAACCGGUGGUGGUGGAGAGUGGUAUACGACUGGAGGAGGUGAGUAGUGAACCGGUGGUGGUGGAGAGUGGUAUACGACUGGAGGAGGAGAGUAGUGAACCGGUGGUGGUGGGGAGUGAUAUACUACGGGAGGAGGAGAGUAGUGAACCGGUGGUGGUGGGGAAUGGUAUACUACGGGAGGAGGAGAGUAGUGAACCGGUGGUGGUGGAGACUUGUAAACUGGAGGAGGGGAGUAGUACUUAACUGGUGGUGGAGGAGACUUGUAAACCGGAGGAGGCGAGUAGUGCUUAACCGGUGGUGGCGGGGACUUGUAAACCGGAGGAGGGGAGUAGUAUUUAACUGGUGGUGGUGGGGACUUGUAAACCGGAGGAGGCGAGUAGUGCUUAACCGGUGGUGGUGGGGACUUGUAAACCGGAGGAGGGGAGUAGUAUUUAACUGGUGGUGGUGGGGACUUGUAAACCGGAGGAGGGGAGUAAUGCUUAACCGGUGGUGGGGGAGACUUGUAAACCGGAGGAGGGGAGUAGUGCUUAACCGGUGGUGGGGGAGACUUGUAAACCGGAGGAGGGGAGUAGUGCUUAACCGGUGGUGGGGGAGACUUGUAAACCGGAGGAGGGGAGUAGUGCUUAACCGGUGGUGGGGGAGACUUGUAAACCGGUGGUGGGGGAGACUUGUAAACCGGAGGAGGGGAGUAGUACUUAACCGGUGGUGGGGGAGACUUGUAAACCGGAGGAGGCGAGUAGUGCUUAACCGGUGGUGGUGGGGACUUGUAAACGGGAGGAGGCGAGUAGUGCUUAACCGGUGGUGGUGGGGACUUGUAAACAGGAGGAGGAGAGUAAUGCUUAACCGGUGGUGGAGGGGAAGAGUAGAAGUAAUUUGCGGUG
Molecule: long non-coding RNA, 1142 nt
Filed under: Arabidopsis thaliana (thale cress)
Lineage: Eukaryota; Viridiplantae; Streptophyta; Magnoliopsida; Brassicales; Brassicaceae
Description: long non-coding RNA (ATHA_LNC000649)
Source: RNAcentral